RNAcentral lists this unclassified non-coding RNA (331 nucleotides) under plant metagenome. RNAcentral describes it as "partial contains 5.8S ribosomal RNA, internal transcribed spacer 2, and large subunit ribosomal RNA". The record is from RNAcentral.
GCCUACUCAGAAUUCUCGCCGCUUCUCCCGAUUUUGAAUAUCAAAGAGGCCGACGCGUCGCAUGCACCCUCCCCCCUCUGCUGCCUUCUAUGAACGGGCAACCCUCCUCUUCCCUCUUCAACCUUGUCUCUAUACAUCAGUCCCUUUCGGGAGCUCGAACGGAUCGAAAAUGAAAAAGGCUCGAGGACACGUGAAGUAGUUGGCGAUGGGGCGGGGAAGGGAGUGUUUAAGACAGCAACGGAGUGGGUGCAGCGGGAAGACGGCAGUAAAGGCGAAAGAAAGGGUUGAGGUGGCGGCAGAACUUCUAAGGGGAAGAUAUGGAGUCACCAAU